UACAGAGGUGGCAAGCGUUGUUCGGAAUUACUGGGCGUAAAGCGUGCGCAGGCGGGCUUUUAAGCCAGACGUGAAAUCCCCGGGCUUAACCUGGGAAUGGCGUUUGGGACUGGAAGUCUGGAGUGCGGCAGAGGAGACUGGAAUUCCUGGUGUAGCAGUGAAAUGCGUAGAUAUCAGGAGGAACACCGAUGGCGAAGGCAGGUCUCUGGGCUGACACUGACGCUCAUGCACGAAAGCGUGGGGAGCAAACAGG
This 253-nucleotide ribosomal RNA is filed under the name uncultured bacterium. Its description in RNAcentral is "partial 16S ribosomal RNA". It matches the Rfam family "Bacterial small subunit ribosomal RNA", at positions 524 to 776 of the family's 1533-position model. The record is from RNAcentral.